RNAcentral lists this transfer RNA (68 nucleotides) under Chingawaemys sp. LAV1667. Its description in RNAcentral is "tRNA-Asp". The record is from RNAcentral. Lineage: Eukaryota; Metazoa; Chordata; Mammalia; Rodentia; Muridae.
AAGACAUUAGUAAAAAUAUUACAUAACUUUGUCAAAGUUAAAUUAUAGACUAAAAUCUAUAUGUCUUA